Molecule: ribosomal RNA, 253 nt
Filed under: uncultured bacterium
Lineage: Bacteria
Description: partial 16S ribosomal RNA
Rfam family: Bacterial small subunit ribosomal RNA
Source: RNAcentral
UACGGGGGGGGCAAGCGUUGUUCGGAAUUACUGGGCGUAAAGGGCUCGUAGGCGGCCAACUAAGUCAGACGUGAAAUCCCUCGGCUUAACCGGGGAACUGCGUCUGAUACUGGAUGGCUAGAGUUUGGGAGAGGGAUGCGGAAUUCCAGGUGUAGCGGUGAAAUGCGUAGAUAUCUGGAGGAACACCGGUGGCGAAGGCGGCCUCCUGGACCAACACUGACGCUGAGGAGCGAAAGCCAGGGGAGCAAACGGG